RNAcentral lists this long non-coding RNA (1183 nucleotides) under Salmo salar (Atlantic salmon). RNAcentral describes it as "lncRNA (ENSSSAG00000101663.1)". The record is from RNAcentral. Lineage: Eukaryota; Metazoa; Chordata; Actinopteri; Salmoniformes; Salmonidae.
CAACAAACCAAGGAGAAAUACCCAACAUGACACACCCUGACCAAAAAUACCCGAGUUCACCUGAUCAGGGCGUGACACAAGCGAGGUGACCAAGACAGGAACUACUGCCAUGGCAACAAGGGCCAGCUGCCACCUCUGUCUGUUUUCCUGGUCUUCACUGGUUCACUGGCUGUAAUCUUCACCUCUCUACAGGUAACACACACACACACUUAGAAAAAGGUGACAGCAGUGCUUCUCUGUUUGUAUUACUCUUAUCAAAAUAAUCCCUAUCAUUACAUCCCCUUUCAAAUCAUCUUUGUAUUUGACCCUGUUCUCUCAUUUUACUCAUACUGUCUCUCUUCCCUUUUCACUCUGUUCCUCAUCAUUUUCGUCUCUCCUCCCCUGGUCCUAUCCCUCUCUGUAGGAGACUGGAGACUAGAUCUCUGUCUCCACUCUGACCCAUGUAUGUGCCUGUCACCGCUGCAGACCUGGCUCCAGAAUAAAGUGAAAUCGGUGAGGGGGCAGUUGAAAUCGGGCACAAUUUUGGGGGAUUCUUGCAUUGGAAUUAUAUUGUUUAUUGGGGUGUAGCGUGAUAAGCGGAGUUCAAAUGCCGAGACUACGAGAACAUUGAUUGAGUGCUUUUGAAGUGACAGGGACAUACAAUUAAAACGGAGGGGGCUAAGCCCCCUUGUGGAGCUGGGUCCGCGCAGCUGCCUGCUCCUGGGGUUUCAAGACUAGCAGCACUAAAGACAAGACUGAGUAGUAGUCAACCACAUCUCAAUCCAAGGACCCACUGUUAUAGUGAAUGGUACCAAACAUUCAAUGUUACUUCAAUCAUUCCAUCGUGUGCGCAUGCUUGUUUUUAGGUGCUUUUAUGGCAACGUUUAAUCCAUAACAUUUCAGGUCACAAAAUAUAAUACUCUAACUAUAUAAACCGUAUUUGUUCCGUCAGUAAAUGCAUUGUUGCUACGAGACAAAUGUACUGCGAUUCUCAUUCAUGCCUCUAGAGAGAGACAGAGCACAAUGUUCAUGUCAUCUUGAGGAAAGCUUCUGCAGAAGUAUACUUGGGUUGUUGACUUUUCUUGUAAUUAAAACUGUUGAAUUGAUUAUCGUACUUGUCAUGUUUUUUCCAACUUCUAGGAAGAUUUUAACCCACUCAACCCUAACACUUCUCCAAGUUUAUACCAUCAUUGCAAAUCCCUAG